RNAcentral lists this long non-coding RNA (984 nucleotides) under Lathyrus oleraceus (garden pea). Its description in RNAcentral is "Pisum sativum (pea) long non-coding RNA (PSAT_LNC000275)". Lineage: Eukaryota; Viridiplantae; Streptophyta; Magnoliopsida; Fabales; Fabaceae. The record is from RNAcentral.
GCUAAGAAUAUUCUAGAAUAUGCUAGAGUAUGUUUAUAAACUAUUUAAAUAUUAACUUCCACAAGAUGGUUCAUAUAAAUCAAAUGUAUCAAACUUGUCAUGUAUAUCUGAUUCUAGGACCUCGCAUAAAUUUUGUAAAAAUUUCAUCAACGUAUCAUUAGUAUGAACAUUACUAAGAUAUGUCGAAAUAAAUUUAUUUAUCUUAUUUGAAUUGAUAAAAUUUACCAAUCUCACAUAUGAGAUAUGGAUGUAAGAUUGAUCUCCAAAAACCUUUUAUGUCGUGUUAGUGAGAUGAUCCUUAUAUUCUUGAUCACAAACCCGUAAUUUGAUGUCAACUAUCUAACUCUUAAUACUUUGACUUGUUCAAAUUGUUCAAUACACUCUUAGAAGCAUCAGAAGUAGAAAAGGUAGCCAUGGACAAUAAACAAAGGUGAAAAAUGCGUACAAAAUUGAGAUUGUUCUCAUUGGAACAUAGGUUUCCGAAAAUUGAAAAACAUAGGGAAAUAUGGAAAUAGAAUGGAGAGUCUGACGGACCAAACAGAGGCUGAAACCGUUGUCACUCGCAGCUUAGGCGGCGACAUGUUCGAUCUACAUGUGUUGGGAUAUAAGGCGCAUGUGAGUGUGUGCUUUGGUGGUUGACAGUGACUUUUUUGUUUGCGAUGGUGAAUGAUUUAUAUGAGGUUAUGAUGAUGGUGGUAGUAGCUUGCAAAAAAGGUCGACGUUGAAAGAAUACACGACUAUGGCAGCUUAGAUGUAAAAUAGCUGAAAAUGGAGUCCAGAGAAGUUAUGGCAGCGAAGAAGUGGAAAACCAAAGUUGAAACAUAAUUUGCAAGAAAAAAUCCUCAUUGAAGGACAAUGGCUCUGUUAAGUGUUGACAUGUGAUAUUGUAUUUCAAUGGAAUCUAGUUAAUGGAUAUCAUAUUGGAAUAAAGAGAAUAAAAUAAUACAAAAGGUAUACACAAAAAUUAUGUAUUUAAAUAGAAUC